UUGCAUCUGGGGCCAGUGAGGAUGAGAACCUCUGGGGGCAGGAGGUUCGACUCGAGCGAAGCGAGAGAACGUUGCGUCAGCAACGGCCCGCAGGGCGAGCCACGAAGUGGUGAGUCAUCCUCUAUCACCGACCA
This 134-nucleotide small RNA is filed under the name Klebsiella pneumoniae. RNAcentral's name for it is "RtT sRNA". It matches the Rfam family "RtT RNA". From Rfam's summary of the family: This family represents a bacterial cis-regulatory element known as RtT RNA. The exact function of RtT is unknown although it is thought that it may be involved in changing the cellular response in relation to amino acid starvation. The record is from RNAcentral. Lineage: Bacteria; Pseudomonadati; Pseudomonadota; Gammaproteobacteria; Enterobacterales; Enterobacteriaceae.